GGUCAAGUUAUUAAGGGUGCAGGGCGGAUGCCUUGGCACUAGGAGCCGAUGAAGGACGUGAUAAGCUGCGAUAAGCUUCGGGGAGUUGCACGUAAACUUUGAUCCGAAGAUUUCCGAAUGAGGAAACUCACUUAGAGUAAUGUCUAAGUAUCAUUAAGUGAAUACAUAGCUUAAUGAGGGGAACUCAGGGAACUGAAACAUCUAAGUACCUGAAGGAAGAGAAAGAAAUUCGAUUCCGUAAGUAGCGGCGAGCGAACGCGGAUUAGCCCAAACCAAUAAAGUUUUCUUUAUUGGGGUUGCGGACAUAUCAUAACGAAGAGGUAUCGUAAUUGAAGAGGUUUGGAAAGACCCACCACAGAAGGUAAUAGUCCUGUAUGUUAAACGAGAAGACUUUAGAUAUGAUCCAGAGUACCACGGGACACGUGAAACCCUGUGGGAAGCAGGAGGGACCACCCUCCAAGGCUAAAUACUACCUAGUGACCGAUAGCGUAUAGUACCGUGAGGGAAAGGUGAAAAGAACCCCGGGAGGGGAGUGAAAUAGAACCUGAAACCCUGCACUUACAAGCUGUGGAAGCACAUUUCUUGUGUGACCGCGUACUUUUUGUAGAACGGGCCAACGAGUUACGUUAAGUAGCAAGGUUAAGCACUUAAGGUGCGGAGCCGUAGCGAAAGCGAGUUUUAACUGAGCGUUCAGUUACUUGACGUAGACCCGAAACCGGGCGACCUACCCAUGAGCAGGAUGAAGCGAAAGUAAAAUUUCGUGGAGGUCCGAACCCACGAGCGUUGAAAAGCUCGGGGAUGACUUGUGGGUAGCGGUGAAAUUCCAAUCGAGCCCGGAGAUAGCUGGUUCUCCCCGAAAUAGCUUUAGGGCUAGCCUCAAGGUGAGAGAUACGGAGGUAGAGCACUGAAUGUCCUAGGGGGUAUUGCACCUACCGAAGACUAUCAAACUCCGAAUGCCGUCAUCUUAUACUUGGGAGUCAGACUGUGGGUGAUAAGAUUCAUAGUCGAAAGGGCAACAGCCCAGAUCGUCAGCUAAGGUCCCUAAAUGUAAGUUAAGUGGUAAAGGAUGUGGGAUUGCACAGACAACCAGGAUGUUGGCUUAGAAGCAGCCACUCAUUCAAAGAGUGCGUAAUAGCUCACUGGUCGAGUGAUCCUGCGCCGAAGAUUUCCGGGGCUAAAACUUACUACCGAAGCUACGGCAUCAGUAAUGAUGGGUAGGGG
Molecule: ribosomal RNA, 1221 nt
Filed under: Clostridioides difficile
Lineage: Bacteria; Bacillati; Bacillota; Clostridia; Peptostreptococcales; Peptostreptococcaceae
Description: partial 23S ribosomal RNA
Rfam family: Bacterial large subunit ribosomal RNA
Source: RNAcentral